RNAcentral lists this ribosomal RNA (172 nucleotides) under uncultured Gammaproteobacteria bacterium. RNAcentral describes it as "partial 16S ribosomal RNA". It matches the Rfam family "Bacterial small subunit ribosomal RNA", at positions 340 to 500 of the family's 1533-position model. Lineage: Bacteria; Pseudomonadati; Pseudomonadota; Gammaproteobacteria. The record is from RNAcentral.
UACGGGAGGCACCAGUGGGGAAUAUUGCCCAAUGGGCGCAAGCNUGAUGAGCCAUGCCGCGUGUAUGAAGAAGGCCUUCGGGUUGUAAAGUACUUUCAGCAGAGGAAGGAAGGUGAUGUCGGAUUAAUAACCGCAGCAAUUGACGUUACUCGCAGAAGAAGGCACCGGCUAA